AUUCUAUAGGCAAAGAGCAUACAAAAUUAUGGGAUUCGAGCCCAACAAAGGACCAAACAUUUGUCAGGCUCUAAGCCUUAUGCUCAGCGCAGCUAUGAGAAGAGACCCAGAAACUGGUGAUGAGCCCAAUGAUAUGGAACUUUGGUUUAUAACUCACACAAAGGAUGGGCACUGGAAAGACCAACAAUCUAGGGAUGUCUACGACAAAGCAAGCAGCC
Long non-coding RNA from Panicum virgatum (switchgrass), 218 nucleotides. RefSeq lists it as uncharacterized. The record is from RefSeq and is a predicted model, not a curated record. NCBI's taxonomy places the organism in Eukaryota, Viridiplantae, Streptophyta, Magnoliopsida, Poales, Poaceae. The transcript has 3 exons.